RNAcentral lists this ribosomal RNA (484 nucleotides) under uncultured bacterium. Its description in RNAcentral is "partial 16S ribosomal RNA". It matches the Rfam family "Bacterial small subunit ribosomal RNA", at positions 29 to 523 of the family's 1533-position model. The record is from RNAcentral.
AGUGAACGCUGGCGGCGUGCUUAACACAUGCAAGUCGAACGAGAACGGAUUAUAGCUUGCUAUAAUUGUCAGCUAAGUGGCGCACGGGUGAGUAAUGUAUAGGUAAUAUGCCUCUUACUAAGGGAUAACAAAUGGAAACGUUUGCUAAUACCUUAUACUCCUUAUUAACAAAAGUUAAUAAGGGAAAGAUUUAUUGGUAAGAGAUUAGCCUGUAUUGUAUCAGUUAGUUGGUGGGGUAAUGGCUUACCAAGACUAUGACCCAUAACUGGUUUGAGAGGAUGAUCAGUCACACUGGAACUGAGACACGGUCCAGACUCCUACGGGAGGCAGCAGUGGGGAAUAUUGCACAAUGGACGAAAGUCUGAUGCAGCAACGCCGCGUGGAGGAUGACACAUUUCGGUGCGUAAACUCCUUUUAUAUGAGAAGAUAAUGACGGUAUUAUAUGAAUAAGCACCGGCUAACUCCGUGCCAGCAGCCGCGGUAA